Ailuropoda melanoleuca (giant panda) is the source of this 329-nucleotide non-coding RNA. NCBI's taxonomy places the organism in Eukaryota, Metazoa, Chordata, Mammalia, Carnivora, Ursidae. The record is from Rfam.
CGACAUAAAGGCAAUCUGGCUGUGAUGUCUGUCGCCCCAUUGAUCACCAAGGUCGAUUUUGAUGAUCCAGCUGAGUAGGCGGGUGUCCCCUUCCUCUCUCACCCCUUCCAAGUGCAUCCCUCCCAAAGCUUCAUGCUCAUUCAAAGAGGACAACCUUCCUCAAUAGAGGAAGACUGUUCUUCAGUCAAGGGUAUAUGAGUAGCUAUGCUCCCCUGCUAGAAUCUUCAAACAAGCUCUCACUCAAAAAACAAGCUAUAGCCAUGAAAAGACAUGAAGGAAACCUAAAAGUAUAUUACUAAAUUAAAGAAGCCAAUCUCAAAAGGCUACAU